CGGGAACCCGGGCUCGCUAGUGGCUCUGGUAGCCCCGCCAGCAGCUCCGCCUGAGGCCAGCACGCUCCAGGCACGAGAGGCUGGCUCCGGCCGCAGCUUUUGCUGGGUGCCAUGGCGCCCUUCUGGGAUGGAAGAAAACUGUCAGAACUAACUGCUGUGUAGACCAAGCUACCUGUGGACUCAGACACUCCGAAUGCUAGACAUAAAGGAAGACACAUGAUGGCACACUGCAACCGAUCAAGUUAACCCCCGGCACAUUACCAGAGGAUCCCUUCUUCAAUGGACUCAGAUCUAUUCCCCCUACUGACAAAGACCCUCCUCAGCAAAAAAACAGCUACAACACCCCUGCCAGACAUUCUCAAUAUCUUCUGAGUUAGAAAUGUUAGUUUCCCGCUGAAAGACUACAUUUCUCAGUUUCCCUUGCAGACUAUAGAAAUCAUUUCUGCCCAUCCCAUCUUCCUUUGUUGGUAUCUUGGCCAUCCAUACACAUGGGUGACAGUAUUUCCUCACUGUGAAUAAAUAUGGUCAGACUAAGCCUCUUAAAACAUCCAGCACCUCCACAGCUGCCUAACAUUGGUCAUGAUGUCUCUUAGCAAAAGAAAAGAAACUAAAACAGAAGUUGACACCAGGGCCUGGGAUAUUCCUGUGACAGGCCUGACCAUGCUGCUUGUUGGAACAAUGCGGACUCUGGGACUUUGAACUAAGAAAGUUGUUGACUGCUUUAAGCAGAGCUAAAUGGAGCAUCCUAAUGGAAGAGUUGGAAGAAAGCAGUGCUGAGAGCAAUGUAGAAUAUGGAGGCCCUGGCUCAAGAGGUUUCUGAAGGGACCAACAUUAGCAACUUGGCUAGAAACUAUUCUUGUAAUAUUUUGGCAAAGAAACAUGGCUUCAUUUUGCCAUGUCUUAAGACUGCUGGAGGCUAAAUUGAUGUUUUUUGACUAAUGGCAAUGGCAGAGAUUUCAAGACAGCCUAGUAUUGGCUAUGUCACAUGGUUAUUAGUGAUGAUUAUGCAGAUCUACAACAGAAAAGAGAAAAUGGGAAAAAAAAUGUAGUUUGAGGAGAAAAAGAAUACCAUGAAAUUUUAAUGUUGGAGUCAAAUCCUGUGCUCAAAGAGAUAUGAAAUUUAAGAAAGGGUUUAAGGAGAAAUGGAAUAAAGAAGUGGUGCCCUGUGGUAGUCUGAAUGUAAUCGGCCUCCAUAAUCUCAUAGGGAGCAGCACAGUUAGGAGGUAUGGCUUUGCUGGAAUGGGUCUUGCUGGAGGAAGUGUGUCACUGUGGGGGUGGGCAUUGAGGUUUCCUAUGUUCAGGAUACUGACCAGUGUCUCAGUCGACUUCCUGUUGCUUGCAAGCCAAGAUGGAGCCAGUACCAUGUCUGCCCCAUAUACUGCCACACCCCCAGACUAAAACCUUUGACACUGUAAGCAAGCAACCCAAUUAAAUGCUUUCUUUAUAAGAGUUGUUGUGGUCAUUAUGUCUCUUCAAAGGAAUAGAAACCCUAGCUAAAACAUGCCCCCAGAAAAAGACCCCACCCAGCUAAGCUUCCAACAUGUUAUUCAACAAAGGAAAGCACCAAGUCAAAGCUUAUACAAAUAUAAUUCAAGGAGGGGGGCAAGUUCCAGCCUGGCAGCAGAACUUAGCAGCUUUAGUGAAGUGUUCUGGCUUCCUCAACAAAAAUAUAGAAGCUGUGGAAAGGAAUGUCCUUCAAGGUUAAAGAAUACUGCUGAGACCCAGAAAGGUCAUUAUAUGAAAGUUAUAAAAGUGAAGCUUGGAUUAUGUUGAAGACCACAAGAUGUUGGAGAUGCAAGAGCCAUGAGAUAUCUUUUGCUAAGGAGAGCUGCACAGAGGACGUUGAACCAGCCCAAAAGACAGACAUUUGUUGCAGUCAACAAAGCUGAAAAGAGUGGGAGAUCUCAAGAACCCUGUGACAUCAAACACUUUAGGAUUUGGAGUUUGCCCUGCUAGAUUUCAGUUUUUCUUUGGUCCAGUAUUUCCUCACUAUACUUACCCAACCCUCCCUUUUGUAAAGUAUAGUCUGUGCCACUAUAUGUUGAAAAUAUAUAAUUUAUAGAUUUUAAUUUUACAGGGAACUAUAAGACACUGCCUUGAGUCUAAAAAGGCAAUUUUGGGAUUCUUUAGUGUUGAGGCUGUAAAGGACGAUGGGCACUUUUGAAGUUAGACUCUAAUACAUUUUACAUUAUGCUAUGGCUACAAGCCUAUAGGGGCCAGGGAGUGGAAUUUGAUUAUUUGAGUGAGAAUGGCCUCCACGGGCACAUAUAUUUGAAUGUUUGGUUCCUAGUUUAGGGAUUGUUUAGGAAGGAAUCAGUGUGACCUUGUUGGAGGAAGUAUGUCAGUGGAGGUAGGUUCUGGGGUUUCAAAAGUCUAUGCCAGGCCCAGUCUGUGUCUGACCCUUGCUUGUGGAUCAGAUGUAAGCUCUCAGCUACUGUUCCAGCAUCAUACUUUCCUGCCUGCUGGUAUUAACCCCAGCAUGAUGAUCAUGGACUAACACCAUGAAACUGUAGCAAGCCACCAA
Long non-coding RNA from Alexandromys fortis (reed vole), 2524 nucleotides. RefSeq lists it as uncharacterized. The transcript has 3 exons. The record is from RefSeq and is a predicted model, not a curated record. Lineage: Eukaryota; Metazoa; Chordata; Mammalia; Rodentia; Cricetidae.